RNAcentral lists this unclassified non-coding RNA (496 nucleotides) under uncultured Archaeospora. Its description in RNAcentral is "SSU rRNA". It matches the Rfam family "Eukaryotic small subunit ribosomal RNA", at positions 591 to 1092 of the family's 1831-position model. Lineage: Eukaryota; Fungi; Glomeromycota; Glomeromycetes; Archaeosporales; Archaeosporaceae. The record is from RNAcentral.
CCAAUAGCGUAUAUUAAAGUUGUUGCAGUUAAAAAGCUCGUAGUUGAAUUUUGGGUUUGGCCGAUUGGUCCGUUCUUGUAGCGAGUACUGGUCGGUUGGGCCUCACCGCUUGGGGAAGGGUAAUGUCCUUUAUUGGGUGUUGCUCGGAGCCAAGACCUUUACCUUGAAAAAAUUAGAGUGUUUAAAGCAGGCUUAUGCAGGAAUCAAUUAGCAUGGAAUAAUAGAAUAGGACAACGAUUCUAGUUUGUUGGUUUCUAGGACCGUUGUAAUGAUUAAUAGGGAUAGUUGGGGGCAUUAGUAUUCAAUUGUCAGAGGUGAAAUUCUUGGAAUUAUUGAAGACUAACUAUUGCGAAAGCAUUUGCCAAGGAUGUUUUCAUUAAUCAAGAACGAAAGUUAGGGGAUCGAAGACGAUCAGAUACCGUCGUAGUCUUAACCAUAAACUAUGCCGACUAGGGAUCGGGCGAUGUUGUUUCAAUGACUCGCUCGGCACCUUAUG